UUGCUUUAACUGCACAUAUACUAAAAUUGGAAUGAUACAAAGACCAGCGUGGCCCCUGUGCAAGGAUGAUACACAAAUUCAUGAAGUCUUCGAUGACAAAAAAAAAAUUUCU
Molecule: small nuclear RNA, 112 nt
Organism: Rhinolophus ferrumequinum (greater horseshoe bat)
Lineage: Eukaryota; Metazoa; Chordata; Mammalia; Chiroptera; Rhinolophidae
Source: Ensembl